RNAcentral lists this ribosomal RNA (450 nucleotides) under Spirobranchus taeniatus. RNAcentral describes it as "SSU rRNA". It matches the Rfam family "Eukaryotic small subunit ribosomal RNA", at positions 134 to 573 of the family's 1831-position model. The record is from RNAcentral. Lineage: Eukaryota; Metazoa; Annelida; Polychaeta; Sabellida; Serpulidae.
GAUGUCUGGAUAACUGUGGCAAUUCUAGAGCUAAUACAUGCAAUCAAGCUCCAACCUUCGUGGGACGAGCGCUCUUAUUAGACCAAGGCCAACCUGCUGGGCAACUGGCAGUUAGCUGUGGUGACUCUGGAUAAACACAGUUGAUCGCACGACUUUACGUCGGCGACGUAUCUUUCAAGCGUAUGCCCUAUCAGCUGUCGACGGUAGGGUAGCGGCCUACCGUGGCAUCAACGGGUAACGGGGGAUCAGGGUCCGAUCCCGGAGAGUAAGCCUGAGAGACGGCUUACACAUCUAAGGAAGGCAGCAGGCGCGCAAAUUACCCAAUGGGGAAACCCUGAGGUAGUGACAAGAAAUAACAAUACGCGACUCUUUCGAGGCCGCGUAAUUGGAAUGAGCACAGUCUAAAUCCUUUAGCGAGGAUCAAUUGGAGGGCAAGUCUGGUGCCAGCAG